Molecule: unclassified non-coding RNA, 359 nt
Filed under: Melitaea cinxia (Glanville fritillary)
Lineage: Eukaryota; Metazoa; Arthropoda; Insecta; Lepidoptera; Nymphalidae
Description: misc RNA ENSMCXG00005007923.1
Source: RNAcentral
UUUUUACUCUGUUUAGGGUUUGCAAGAAUAUGUUACUUUCUUGGUUAUUGUUUUGUUUAGUGUUUACUAUUAAAGUUUUACACGUUCAAGGCUUUAACUAGAUAAUUAACAAUGAAAUAAAAACUGAAGAUGGAAAUGAUAUUAAACGGUUGACCAGAAAAGUACGCCACGUUGAAACGGUUACUGAGACGUUAUUAAUGCAUAUUUUAAAAGAACUACAUCAUAAUUAUCCAAAUUUAAAAAAGAAAAGAAGGAAGGAGGAUUUUGACAAAAUAGCGCACAAUUUAAGGAUAAGACUACGACAGUAUUUGAGAACUAAUAAACGAAAAAAUUAGAACUAUAGUUUUUCGUAUAAAUUU